CGACGUUUGGGUCUAUCAGCUGCUGUGGAACGACGUUUGGGUCUAUCAGCUGCUGUGGAACGACGUUUGGGCCUAUCAGACGCUGUGGAACGACGUUUGGGUCUAUCAGCUGCUGUGGAACAGUACUGCGUUCCGGCCUUCUGUUGUUGUUUCCUCGAUAGUUGCUGCUACCUGCUAUUUCUCUGUUGUGGUUGGUAGGUUGCUUUUGUUUUUCCAGGUUUUUUCUAUGGAGACUGAAAGCUCAAAGACCUAUUUAUCUCUGCACUCCCCUUUCUCUUUGGAUGCAUGGCCAACGCCGCUGCCGCCAUGCAUAUGGUAAACAUAGCGUUUGCCAAGUGUCUCAAAGCAAAGGAAGGCUUUAGUGCCUAUGAACAGAAAGAGAGGAGAGAGCGAGAUGGAGCAAGAGAGCGAGGGAGACAGACAGAGAGAAGUAGAGAGAAAAGAGAGAGAAGCGGCUGGCGGGGGAAUGGGUAAGAGUUUGUUUUGUGUUCUACGGAUGAAGAUUACAGGUUGCAUGCCAGCUCUCUGGAAGCACUCAAACAUAUGCAGUGGAUACAAAGCACUCAGAUGGGUAAAGGCACAAAGAAGCAAAGUCUUUAACACAAAAAACAUCAGAGCUCAGUCUGACAAGGCACAGGAAGAAUGCAGGUGGUCCAUGGACCACAACCAGAAGUCAAGGUCUUCGAUGGAGUCGAGCCUCUCAUAGAGAAUGAAUACACUUACAGGUACAUUUUUCCAGGUGUUGCAGAGGCUUGGGGAGGAAAAGGUGUAUAUGUGCUGUUGUCUAGAAUCGGCCCAUAUCAAAUCUUUUAUCAGGAUCUCCACAGAACUGGUCCAAAUAUGGAGCUGGAAAGUGAGACCAUCAAUGCCUACAUGUUCCAUCUGGUGCAGAAUUUUAAUAGGCAGUCAACCGAGCAAACCUUCUACAUUGACACCUUUGAAAUUACUGGCAUUUGGGGGAGCAAGAAAUCAAAACUUACGAUUGAUCCAAUGAUGUACAAGUACAUUAUUGGCAUCAUCAAUGAACACAACCACUGGACUGUGACGGUUAUGCUGCCAUCCAAAAAGAGGGCUCUGUUCCUCGACCCAAUGUGGGAAAAGUUCCAGAAAGAUAAAUAGAUGCCUGGGGGUGACAAGAUCAUUCCUGAGAGAGAAGGGGUGUAAUAUCUCCAGAUGGGCGUGUGGUACCCUUCCUCACCCAUGCCAACAAGAUGUUACUUCUUGUGGGGUCUUUGCCUUGAAAUUUGCUGAAUGUGUUCUGAAGGAGAAGUCGAUUGUCUUUUCAAAUACGGACAAAGAUGAUAACAUCAUGAGAGAAGAAAUAGCAGUCACUCUCCUCCAAAACACUGAUGACCUGAGCCAACUGUACCACUUCUGUGGGGAGGUGGACAAUAAUGAGGAAGACACUAACUGGAUUUCUUGUGACCGCUGCCCACGAUGGUUCCACCAGUCCUGUAUGAAAACCAUCCCAUCAUUGGAG
RNAcentral lists this long non-coding RNA (1480 nucleotides) under Salmo salar (Atlantic salmon). RNAcentral's name for it is "lncRNA (ENSSSAG00000098031.1)". Lineage: Eukaryota; Metazoa; Chordata; Actinopteri; Salmoniformes; Salmonidae. The record is from RNAcentral.